GAUGAAGAACGUAGCGAAAUGCGAUAAGUAAUGUGAAUUGCAGAAUUCAGUGAAUCAUCGAAUCUUUGAACGCACAUUGCGCCCGCCAGUAUUCUGGCGGGCAUGCCUGUUCGAGCGUCAUUUCAACCAUCAAGCCCCCGGCUUGUGUUGGGGACCUGCGGCUGCCGCAGGCCCUGAAAAGCAGUGGCGGGCUCGCUGUCACACCGAGCGUAGUAGCAUACAUCUCGCUCUGGGCGUGCUGCGGGUUCCGGCCGUUAAACCACCUUCAUAACCCAAGGUUGACCUCGGAUCAGGUAGGAAGACCCGCUGAACUUAAGCAUAUCAAAAAGCGGAGGA
Molecule: unclassified non-coding RNA, 336 nt
Filed under: soil metagenome
Description: partial contains 5.8S ribosomal RNA, internal transcribed spacer 2, and large subunit ribosomal RNA
Rfam family: 5.8S ribosomal RNA (bases 1-120)
Source: RNAcentral